RNAcentral lists this transfer RNA (86 nucleotides) under Neolewinella maritima. RNAcentral describes it as "Lewinella maritima tRNA-Leu". It matches the Rfam family "tRNA". Rfam says of the family: Transfer RNA (tRNA) molecules are approximately 80 nucleotides in length. Their secondary structure includes four short double-helical elements and three loops (D, anti-codon, and T loops). The record is from RNAcentral. Lineage: Bacteria; Pseudomonadati; Bacteroidota; Saprospiria; Saprospirales; Lewinellaceae.
ACCCAGGUGGUGAAAUUGGUAGACACGCCAGCUUGAGGGGCUGGUGUCCAUUGCGGACGUGCAGGUUCAAGUCCUGUUCUGGGUAC